GUUAAUUCCACUGGCACUGUUUUACCCCAGCACGUUUUCUCUGGAGAUUUUGCUGCCCUGCUGUGCUGCCUACGUGGAGGAAGCAAAGCUCCAAGUGCUGCUCCACGUGCUCUCUGACUCUUUAUCUGCAAGGCUCCUGCCUUCUCCUGUCACACAUUGAGUCCAGCUGCCUCAGAGCUGCUGCCCCACACAGUUUUGUCUGCAGCACACCUGGGAGCUCUUCAGCAUCGUGGCUUUCAUCUGCUGUGGGAGAGAGAGCCCUUCAAUGUCCUCUCAGCACAGGAGAAUGACCAGGUGAAGGGCUGGAUGUCUCUGGCAGGGGCAAAGAGAAGAUUCUAAGAGCAAGAGGAUUUCUUUUGCUUUCACCACCUGCUUCUACUGCUCAUCCCUGUGAGUGAGACUUUUCCACAUCUAAAAUAUCUCCUGAGACCAGUUCAUUCCUUUGUACCAGGUUGGUACUGACACAACCAUUUAAUCAUUUGUAUUGAUUAAUUAAUUACUAAAAUCAAACUUAGAAAUCAACCAAAGCUUUCCAUCCUUCUUUUAUUGCCUCUUUUAAAUUUUUUCUUAACUGUGCCAUAUUCUACAUCUUAUUACUGCUCAGCUUUUCUAUAUAUUUGGAUUUCUUCUGACCAGGAGCUGUUUGAUUUGACAGAUUCUGUAUUUGCAGCAUCAAAAUAUGUUGCUAUGGAAAAAGUUACGAGUUCUAAUUAAAAAUGCAGAGGUCACAAGUUUCCCAGAACCAGCAGGGCAUAGAUCCUAGGAGAAAGGAAUCACAACAUAAAAAAUCCAGAGAUAUGUCACUCUGCAACUUUCCAGAUCUGAAAAGGGAACAGCAAGCAUUGAGGACAAAACAGGAGGCUGAAAUUCAUUCAGAUGCUAACUUCUCCUUCCCACUGGCACAAGCUGCUUCUGGAACUCAUGCAGAGCACUGAGAUUUGAAAUGUCAUCCUAAUAGAACUGAAACUGAGGAGAGAGAGAAAUUAGAUGGGCUUUAAUAAAGAGAAAUCAGAGCAGAAAUUAGGUCAUCCUUUCAACUCCAAUACUGAAUUAAUUUUCAUGUUGUGGUGCUGGGGUUUUGAUGAACAACCUGUGUCCAUCAGAGUGCCCCAAGGUGCCUGAUGGAAGCUCAGCAAGGCCAUACCAAGAGUCUUCUCUGAGCUGUGACCCCACACAAGGCAGAAUAUUUUUCCUUAAAUAAUCAUGAAAUAUCUGAAAUUAGGAGGGACCCAUGAGGAUCAUCGUGUCCAACUCCCUGUUCCUGUCCUGAGCCUUUGAAAGAUCAUCCUGUUGGAAAACACCCUCAGGCACAGGGUGGGCUUUGGGGUUGUCCUGUGCAGGAGCUGGGCUGGAUCCUCCUUGUGGGACCCUUCCAGCUCAGGAUAUUCUGUGAUUUUAGCUUUUCUAUGAUUUUAGCAUUUUUAACAGUUCAAUACCUUGAGUUUUCUAACUAUUUACAGUUUCCCCUCUUACAAACUAUUAUUUCUAAACAAUUCUUGUGGCUUUCCUCUCCUCUUGCUCCAGUUCAGCCAAACUAAGAACCACCAGUGCAAUCACAGCCUUGGGUCUGAGCUGCCUCACCUGUGACCAGGGGUGCCCACGCAAUUCCUCAAUAUCUGAAUUGAUCAAUGGAUCAAUAUCUGCAUCAGAGCACAACAUUCCAGCUCAGCUCAGCUGUACCAAACCUUUGUCUCCUAGGAACAUACCUGCUCUGGGCUAGGUUGGCCAUUUCUGCAAUAUUUUGGUAAAAGAAACAGUUAAAACAUCAAAUCAUAGAAACUCUCAAACUGGAAGGGACUCACAAGGCUCAUCAAAGUCCAAUACUUCUACUCUAAUUGUAUUUAGCUUCUAAUCUUUUGACAGUGUUGGAGCUCUCAGAGCUCCCACUGCAGUAAUUUUUUAUUUUUAAAUGACAAAUUUAGUGUAAAUAUCUUGCAGUUUGUGUCCCCUGCCCUGCAGGGGCACAGCAGUUUUUCUCCUGAACAUCUGGGGAGGUGAUGCUGCUACACCCAGAGCCUGGGGAUGCCCAAGGGAUGCCCAGCUCCUCUCUGAGAGCUGCUGAGUUUCUGUCUUGGGGAAAAGGGAAGCUUGAUCAUGGCUCCUGCUCCUCAGUUCUGCUUCUGGAUAGAAAAAAUGUAACAUUUCCUCACAGAUAUUUGAUAUUUUUCCAUAGAAAACACAGAGCCAUGUUCCAGAAAAUGUAUUUUUGGGAGGGUGGGCAGGCCCUGGCACAGGGUGCCCAGAGCAGCUGGGGCUGCCCCUGGAUCCCUGGAAGUGUCCAAGGCCAGGCUGGACAUUGAGGC
Molecule: long non-coding RNA, 2303 nt
Organism: Haemorhous mexicanus (house finch)
Lineage: Eukaryota; Metazoa; Chordata; Aves; Passeriformes; Fringillidae
Exons: 4
Source: RefSeq, a predicted model, not a curated record